Molecule: non-coding RNA, 27 nt
Filed under: Homo sapiens (human)
Lineage: Eukaryota; Metazoa; Chordata; Mammalia; Primates; Hominidae
Source: RNAcentral
UGAUGAUCCUGAGAUGAGACCAAACUG